RNAcentral lists this ribosomal RNA (545 nucleotides) under Escherichia coli. RNAcentral's name for it is "partial 23S ribosomal RNA". It matches the Rfam family "Bacterial large subunit ribosomal RNA", at positions 230 to 816 of the family's 2925-position model. Lineage: Bacteria; Pseudomonadati; Pseudomonadota; Gammaproteobacteria; Enterobacterales; Enterobacteriaceae. The record is from RNAcentral.
CGAGAUUCCCCCAGUAGCGGCGAGCGAACGGGGAGGAGCCCAGAGCCUGAAUCAGUGUGUGUGUUAGUGGAAGCGUCUGGAAAGGCGCGCGAUACAGGGUGACAGCCCCGUACACAAAAAUGCACAUACUGUGAGCUCGAUGAGUAGGGCGGGACACGUGGUAUCCUGUCUGAAUAUGGGGGGACCAUCCUCCAAGGCUAAAUACUCCUGACUGACCGAUAGUGAACCAGUACCGUGAGGGAAAGGCGAAAAGAACCCCGGCGAGGGGAGUGAAAAAGAACCUGAAACCGUGUACGUACAAGCAGUGGGAGCCUCUUUUAUGGGGUGACUGCGUACCUUUUGUAUAAUGGGUCAGCGACUUAUAUUCUGUAGCAAGGUUAACCGAAUAGGGGAGCCGAAGGGAAACCGAGUCUUAACCGGGCGUUAAGUUGCAGGGUAUAGACCCGAAACCCGGUGAUCUAGCCAUGGGCAGGUUGAAGGUUGGGUAACACUAACUGGAGGACCGAACCGACUAAUGUUGAAAAAUUAGCGGAUGACUUGUGGCU